CCCUUAGAUGUCCUGGGCCGCGCGCGCGUUACACUGAUGCAUUCAACGAGCUUAUAACCUUGGCCGAGAGGCCUGGGCAUUCUUGUUAACGUGCAUCGUGAUAGGGAUAGAUUAUUGAAAUUAUUAAUCUUGAACGAGGAAUUCCUAGUAAACGCAGAUCAUCAAUCUGCAUUGAUUACGUCCCUGCCCUUUGUACACACCGCCCGUCGCACCCACCGAUUGGAUGGUCCGGUGAAGCCUCGGGAUUGUGGUUCUUGCCGCUUUAUUGUGGCGUGACCGCGAGAACUUGUCUAAACCUUAUCAUCUAGAGGAAGGUGAAGUCGUAACA
Molecule: ribosomal RNA, 328 nt
Filed under: uncultured eukaryote
Lineage: Eukaryota
Description: partial 18S ribosomal RNA
Rfam family: Eukaryotic small subunit ribosomal RNA
Source: RNAcentral